Molecule: ribosomal RNA, 440 nt
Filed under: uncultured bacterium
Lineage: Bacteria
Description: partial 16S ribosomal RNA
Rfam family: Bacterial small subunit ribosomal RNA
Source: RNAcentral
CCUACGGGCGGCUGCAGUGGGGAAUAUUGCACAAUGGGGGAAACCCUGAUGCAGCGACGCCGCGUGAGUGAAGAAGUAUCUCGGUACGUAAAGCUCUAUCAGCAGGGAAGAAAAUGACGGUACCUGACUAAGAAGCCCCGGCUAACUACGUGCCAGCAGCCGCGGUAAUACGUAGGGGGCAAGCGUUAUCCGGUGUUUAUGGGUGGAAAGGCACCGUAGACGGCAGCACAAGUCUGGGGGGAAAUCCCGGGGCUUAAACCCGGGAUUGCUUUGGAAACUGUGCGGCUGGAGUGAGAGAGGGGUAAGCGGAAUUCCAAGUGAAGCGGUGAAAUGCGUAGAUAUUAGGAAGAACACCGGAGGCGAAGGCGGCUUACUGGGCUUAAACUGACGUUGAGGCACGAAAGCGUGGGGAGCAAACAGGAUUAGAUACCCGAGUAGUC